Molecule: non-coding RNA, 140 nt
Organism: Yersinia mollaretii ATCC 43969
Lineage: Bacteria; Pseudomonadati; Pseudomonadota; Gammaproteobacteria; Enterobacterales; Yersiniaceae
Source: Rfam
UAGGACGAUCCGCUGACGCAUGACGUAUUACUUUAAAUAUAGUGUCAAAAUAACCUUGAAAAUUUGAGGUAUGACCUCAUCUAAUCUCCAGUAGCAAUUUUGACCAAUAUUGGAGGUGUUAUGCGUCUGGAUCGUCUUAC